AGAAAAUGACUGAGCGGCGAACGGGUGAGUAACGCGUGAGCAACCUACCUUAGUUACUGGGAUAGCCCGAGGAAACUCGGAUUAAUACCGGAUAUUCUUAUUUAAUCACAUGAUUUUUUAAGGAAAGGUCAGCCGAACUAAGAUGGGCUCGCGUUCUAUCAGCUAGUUGGUGAGGUAAAAGCUCACCAAGGCAACGACGGAUAGCUGGUCUGAGAGGACGAUCAGCCACACUGGGACUGAGACACGGCCCAGACUCCUACGGGAGGCUGCAGCAGGGAAUAUUGCGCAAUGAGCGAAAGCUUGACGCAGCGACACCGCGUGUGGGAUGACGGAUCUAGGUUUGUAAACCACUUUCAGGAGGGAAGAAAAUGACGGUACCUCCACAAGAAGCCCCGGCCAACUACGUGCCAGCAGCCGCGGUAAUACGUAGGGGGCGAGCGUUGUCCGGAUUUAUUGGGCGUAAAGAGCUCGUAGGCGGUUCAACAAGUCGGUCGUAAAAGUUCAGGGCUCAACCCUGAAAUGUCGAUCGAUACUGUUGUGACUAGGAUACGGUAGAGGUGAGUGGAAUUCCGAGUGUAGCGGUGAAAUGCGUAGAUAUUCGGAGGAACACCAAUUGCGAAGGCAGCUCACUGGGCCGCUAUCGACGCUGAGGAGCGAAAGCUAGGGGAGCAAACAGGAUUAGAUACCCUGGUAGUCCUAGCUGUAAACGAUGGAUACUAGACGUAGGAACUGGAUUGACGGUUUCUGUGUCGUAGCUAACGCGUUAAGUAUCCCGCCUGGGGAGUACGGUCGCAAGACUAAAACUCAAAGGAAUUGACGGGACCCCGCACAAGCGGCGGAGCAUGCGGCUUAAUUCGAUGAUACCCGUAGAACCUUACCUGGACUUGACAUAUAGGGUCUAGCUAUAGAGAUAUAGUGUGCAUUAGCGCCCUAUACAGGUGGUGCAUGGCUGUCGUCAGCUCGUGUCGUGAGAUGUU
RNAcentral lists this ribosomal RNA (977 nucleotides) under marine metagenome. Its description in RNAcentral is "bacterial SSU rRNA". It matches the Rfam family "Bacterial small subunit ribosomal RNA", at positions 82 to 1076 of the family's 1533-position model. The record is from RNAcentral.